CAUUAGUAUACCUCCUAGACCUUCAGCUUGCGGUAACCAGAUGCUUGCUAUUCCCAGCACACACCAACAGCAACUUCCAUAUCGAAAUCCUUACCAGCGACCGAACCAUGACCCCCUUCUUUUUGGCAAUUAUGAAGAAGAUUCAGCAACCCCUUUGCUAAACCUUGCAAGAACAUCAUUCAGUGGUUUUCACCAUCCGGUGGUCGGAAUGAUUGGCGAUUUCGUGCACGCGAGGG
Molecule: unclassified non-coding RNA, 236 nt
Filed under: Hevea brasiliensis (rubber tree)
Lineage: Eukaryota; Viridiplantae; Streptophyta; Magnoliopsida; Malpighiales; Euphorbiaceae
Source: RNAcentral